GACGAACGCUGGCGGCGUGCUUAACACAUGCAAGUCGAACGGAAAGGCCCUGCUUUUGUGGGGUGCUCGAGUGGCGAACGGGUGAGUAACACGUGAGUAACCUGCCCUUGACUUUGGGAUAACUUCAGGAAACUGGGGCUAAUACCGGAUAGGAGCUCCUGCUGCAUGGUGGGGGUUGGAAAGUUUCGGCGGUUGGGGAUGGACUCGCGGCUUAUCAGCUUGUUGGUGGGGUAGUGGCUUACCAAGGCUUUGACGGGUAGCCGGCCUGAGAGGGUGACCGGCCACAUUGGGACUGGGAUACGGCCCAGAAUCCUACGGGAGGCAGCAGUGGGGAAUAUUGCACAAUGGGCGGAAGCCUGAUGCAGCAACGCCGCGUGCGGGAUGACGGCCUUCGGGUUGUAAACCGCUUUCGCCUGUGACGAAGCGUGAGAGACGGUAAUGGGUAAAGAAGCACCGGCUAACUACGUG
Molecule: ribosomal RNA, 468 nt
Filed under: uncultured bacterium
Lineage: Bacteria
Description: partial 16S ribosomal RNA
Rfam family: Bacterial small subunit ribosomal RNA
Source: RNAcentral